GACGAAGGUGGCGAGCGUUGUUCGGAAUUACUGGGCUUAGAGAGCACGUACGUGGGCUUGCAAGCGUCUUGUGAAAGCCCCCGGCUUAACCGGGGAAUUGUAGGGCGAACUGCCAGCCUUGAGGCAGGUUAAGGGCGAGUGCAACUCUUGGUGGAGCGGUGGAAUGCGUAGAUAUCAAGAGGAACGCCGGAGGUGAAGACGACUCGCUGGGCAGGUCCUGACACUGAGGUGCGAAAGCCAGGGGAGCAAACGGGAUUAGAUACCCCGGUAGUCCAGGCCGUAAACGAUGUCCACUAGGUCGGAGGCCUUCGGACAGGCUUCUGCCGGCAAGAAAACCAUUAAGUGGACCGCCUGGGGAGUACGGUCGCAAGGCUAAAACUCAAAGGAAUUGACGGGGGCUCACACAACCGGUGGAGUAUGUUGCUCAAUUCGAUGCAACGCGAAGAACCUUAUCGUGGGCUUGACAUGUUCGGAUGCCUCCCUGGAAACAGGGUUGGUUGCCAUUCGGGGUGAAACGUUCACAGGUGCUGCAUGGCUGUCGUCAGCUCAUGUCGUGAGAUGUUGGGUUAAGUCCCGUAACGAGCGAAACCCUUGUCGCUAGUUGCCAGCGA
Molecule: ribosomal RNA, 611 nt
Filed under: uncultured organism
Description: bacterial SSU rRNA
Rfam family: Bacterial small subunit ribosomal RNA
Source: RNAcentral